UCGUUUGUUCCGAAUAUUUUUGAAUAUUAUAGCGAAUUGCUGUUAUAGACAAUGUAUUUUAUAAUAGAACAUGAGAUUUAGCUCCGGAAAAAAUUGGCUUUUAUAGAGAAGUGUCGUUAUAUAAGGAUGUUGUUAUAGAGAUGUCUGACUGUAUAUAUUGCGUGAAAAACCAUACUAUACAACACAUAUUAAGCUGUGAUUGAUGCAAAAUCUCUUCAUUCUAUACAUUUCAAUUUACUAGUAUUAGGGUACGCGCCUUGCACGUGUAACCUAUCUU
Molecule: long non-coding RNA, 277 nt
Filed under: Nicotiana benthamiana
Lineage: Eukaryota; Viridiplantae; Streptophyta; Magnoliopsida; Solanales; Solanaceae
Description: long non-coding RNA (NBEN_LNC031838)
Source: RNAcentral